GAUGAACGCUAGCUACAGGCUUAACACAUGCAAGUCGAGGGGUAACGAGAGGAAAGCUUGCUUUCCUUGUCGACGACCGGCGCACGGGUGAGUAACGCGUAUCCAACCUGCCCCCAACUAGGGAAUAACCUUGCGAAAGUAAGACUAAUACCCUAUAAUUUCCUCAGAUGUCAUCUGACGAGGAAUAAAGAUUUAUCGGUUGUGGAUGGGGAUGCGUCUGAUUAGCUUGUUGGCGGGGUAACGGCCCACCAAGGCAACGAUCAGUAGGGGUUCUGAGAGGAAGGUCCCCCACAUUGGAACUGAGACACGGUCCAAACUCCUACGGGAGGCAGCAGUGAGGAAUAUUGGUCAAUGGGCGGAAGCCUGAACCAGCCAAGUAGCGUGCAGGAUGACGGCCCUAUGGGUUGUAAACUGCUUUUAUACAGGAAUAAAGUUAGCCACGUGUGGUUAUUUGUAGGUACUGUAAGAAUAAGCACCGGCUAACUACGUGCCAGCCGCCGCCGUAA
Molecule: ribosomal RNA, 506 nt
Filed under: uncultured bacterium
Lineage: Bacteria
Description: partial 16S ribosomal RNA
Rfam family: Bacterial small subunit ribosomal RNA
Source: RNAcentral